Long non-coding RNA from Vespula vulgaris, 1882 nucleotides. RefSeq lists it as uncharacterized. The transcript is spliced from 2 exons. Lineage: Eukaryota; Metazoa; Arthropoda; Insecta; Hymenoptera; Vespidae. The record is from RefSeq and is a predicted model, not a curated record.
GCCGUUUCCAAUAAUUUCGUAAUAGGAUUUACCUUCAGUUUCGAUAUGAAAAGCAUAUAAAUCGAAAGCACAAUCAGCUGUUAUUUAUAUUUUAAUAAUCAGUCAUUUCAAUUGAAAUCAUUCUCGAACAAAUUCGUUCUAAUCACAGAUUAGUAUAAUCACGAAUCAGGGUAAGACGUACCUGUGUUAAUAAUGCUAUUGCUAUUGUAAAAUUGAAAAAGCAAAUAUGAGUCAUUUUCCUCGACGAUGUCUCAUAAAGCAAAAUGCCAAUUAAUUUAAAAAAUCGAAUAUUAUAAAUAUAGUACUCGUUUUCAAAAUACUCCUCGUCUUGUACAGACAUACUGGUAUCACUCAUGUGACUCAUUAAUUUCGACUAACUUCAACCCCAUGUUCUUUUUUACAUCAAGUAUCCUAAAUACUCCUUCUAAAUAAAUUUUUAAAUUGUUAAACAUAAAGGUAUAUUUUGAAACAUUGUAUCGAGGUGGUAGAAUUUUUUUCCGUAGCAAUAAUUCAUGUAAAAUUAAUAACAUACUAUAUGUUUUUCCUCAUUUAGUCUAAUUAUAAACAUGAACUGAGAAACAGGUAUUUCUUUCUAGCUAUUAAGUUAUUUUUUGUCAUGUACUCGUUGCGUUGUCGAUUAUUUUUUUCCUUCCACGACGGACAUGCGUAUUACGUGCGUAUACUCUUCCCCGUUUUAUUCUCUCACAGUAUGAUUUUACUUCUCGAAGGAAAAACAUGUUAGUGCUUGACGUGUUAUUAUUAUUUUAUAGAAUUUAUUGAGUUUACAGAAAAUGAUUUUCCAUCAGACUGACAAUUAUUCUCUUCUUAACAUCAACCAAUAUUAAUCAAUAUAAAUAAUAUAAUAGGCAUAACGAUCGGCAAAUAUAAUAACGAAAGCCUAUUUAUCAUGAUCGAAAAUUAGAUGCGUUAAUUGUGGAUCUAACUUCAUUUUUUUAACCAUUUUUUUAAUCAUGCUUCGAAUAGAAAAGUAGAAACAAAUAUAGCUAUUUUUCUAUAAUAUAUGGGUUCCGCUAUUAUUUCGAUUUUGGUAAUUAUGGUUAUUAAAAUACAGAUAUUAAGUAUCUGAUCGAUAACAGAUAUCGAGCUGAUAUUAAAAAUACUGACAAAAUAUCGUAUUUUUAUUAUUUUCCCAAAAAACGGAAAGAGAAAAUCAUAUGCUUUAAAUAUCAGUAUGGUAAUAACAUUGUAAUACCUGUAUAAUACCUAUAAAUAUUUUGAAAAAACAAAUCAUCAAAUUAUAUGAAAUGUGGUUUGGAUAAAAUCGAUUCAAUAAAGUUACUAUUCAAUGCGUUGCAUAUAUUUAUAAAAAUCGACUUCCGUUACCGAAUGUCUGAGUUAUAAAUUUUUUACUGGGUAAUUGAUAUAAAAAGAAAUUACAUCAUAUCAAAAUAAUCAUGUAAAUAGUAUAUUAAUGCGAAUAAAUGCAGAAUAAAUAGAAUAUUUUUUCUUUCAUAUAUUUAUCUUUAUUCCACUUCUAUAUUUACAAAUAAUUUCUGCAUUCUUCAUGAUUAAAAAUUGAGAAAAAAUAUUAAAAAUAUCGAUAAGAAAUGUCAUAAAAAUAUCAACAAUUAAGACAUAAUACUGAUACUAAGAAGAUUUAUCUAACAUUAUUUGAAACAUUUUUUUUUAGGAAGGAAGUAAUAAUAAUAUAAAGGAAGUAAUAUAAUGAGGAUAAUAUCACGUUAUAGUUGGCGUUUUAUUUGUAUAUUUUCCCAAUUUCCAGUUUGUUUACACAUAACUUCUGCAACAAAACCUCAGCACGGAAAUCUGCAUCAACAUCCAAACUUCCUAUAGAAACAGAAAAUUAUUAAAAUUUUACUGUAUUGUUAAAUAAUAUUGUAAUUAAAGGGCCAUCAGCUUA